RNAcentral lists this long non-coding RNA (680 nucleotides) under Numida meleagris (helmeted guineafowl). Its description in RNAcentral is "lncRNA (ENSNMEG00000018402.1)". Lineage: Eukaryota; Metazoa; Chordata; Aves; Galliformes; Numididae. The record is from RNAcentral.
UUCACAGUCAUCUUCCGUUAUCUGUGUCACCAUCAUCUCAUGUCUUCUCUGGCAGCACCUCUGCCCAUGCAGCUCCCUUGCCAGACAGCCUCCUUGGGUUGGAGGCAGCAGCGCAGCAGGCCUUGGUGGCUGCAGGGGUGGCAGGCCCCAUGCUUACUGUGGCUGUGUCAGUGAGACUUCAUUUUCAAGCCCCAGAUGUGUGUCCAAAGAACUUGCAUGUUCUCCUGAGCAUGUGCUACUGCUCUGUAUGGAGGUCAGCCACCAGCACCACUCUCCUGUGCAACGUGGAGAGCAGGGCAGAGACAGCGGGCCCAGACUCGAGCAGACAGCAAGUGAAAUCGAAGAGUGGUGGAAGACAGUGGUUUAAGCUGGAGCGGGGUUGUUGGGACUUCUGCCGUACAUCUUGACCCAUGAGAUGUUACUGCUGUGGAAAAAAGUGAGACCCUAAUUUGCAAGUGGAGCAAGCAGUUGCAAUCACCGUUUGAGUCAGUGGGAAGUAGAAGCAGCCUGCCAGACUGCGAUCAGGCAGAGAACGACUUCUGCAGAUUUAUUGGAAUUCAUUGGUGGAGCAGUGCUUGGCGUAGAGGAGUUAAUGUACUGCAGGUUCUGAGUGCCAUCCGCUAGAUGGGGCUCUUUCUUGGGGAGGAAGAGAGCUGUUAAAAUUAUUUUUGGUGGGAAGA